GAAAUUAGUCAGGCAAAGGACGUACUUCCUGUUGAGCAGUGCCGAACUUGAGCAAUCGAAGAUUCUAAGCAUUCUGAAAAAAGCCGAGAUAUUACAAGAAGAAAAAGGGGAAAUUGAAACGGAGAAGAUCUAGCCAAGACAUGUUUUAAACCCUUGUGGCUCGUGUCAUGUGACUCAAAGCACGUAGCUCGCGGCUAAAAGCACGUGGCUCGCGACUCAAAGCAUGAAGCUCAUGGCUCGAAGCACUUGGCUCGUUGCUCGUGGCUCGUGGCUCAAAGCACGUGGCUCGUAGCUCAAAGCACGAAGCUCGUGGCUCGAAGCACUUGGCUUGCUGCUCAUGGUUCAUAGCUCAAAGCACGUGGCUCGUGUCUCAAAGUACGUAGUUUGUGGCUCGUGGCACGUGGCACAUGGGUCGUGGCUUACAGAUCUUUAUGUAUAUCUUAGAAAUGAAUUGAGGAGUGGGGCGAAAAUAUUGAGAAUCACAAGUUUCUGUUUGGCGUAUGGUGUUUGGGUGUGACAAAAUUGUAUACUCUCUUAUUUUAAGUUCCUUAUAAAUAAGAGACUGGGGGGCAAUGUUGGGAUGUGAUUAUUUGGGUCUAGCCAUGGUGCAACCUAGUCUAUUUAAU
This 626-nucleotide long non-coding RNA is filed under the name Panax ginseng (ginseng). RNAcentral's name for it is "long non-coding RNA (PGIN_LNC017901)". Lineage: Eukaryota; Viridiplantae; Streptophyta; Magnoliopsida; Apiales; Araliaceae. The record is from RNAcentral.